CCUACGGGGGGCAGCAGUGGGGAAUAUUGGACAAUGGGGGCAACCCUGAUCCAGCCAUGCCGCGUGUGUGAAGAAGGCCCUCGGGUUGUAAAGCACUUUCAGUGAGGAAGAACGCCUGGUGGUUAAUACCCAUCAGGAAAGACAUCACUCACAGAAGAAGCACCGGCUAACUCCGUGCCAGCAGCCGCGGUAAUACGGAGGGUGCGAGCGUUAAUCGGAAUUACUGGGCGUAAAGCGCGCGUAGGUGGCUUGAUAAGCCGGUUUGUGAAAGCCCCGGGCUCAACCUGGGAACGGCAUCCGGAACUGUCAAGCUAGAGUGCAGGAGAGGACGGUAGAAUUCCCGGUGUAGCGGUGAAAUGCGUAGAGAUCGGGAGGAAUACCAGUGGCGAAGGCGGCCUUCUGGACUGACACUGACACUGAGGUGCGAAAGCGUGGGUAGCAAACAGGAUUAGAUACCCUAGUAGUC
This 466-nucleotide ribosomal RNA is filed under the name Vreelandella stevensii. Its description in RNAcentral is "partial 16S ribosomal RNA". It matches the Rfam family "Bacterial small subunit ribosomal RNA", at positions 338 to 795 of the family's 1533-position model. Lineage: Bacteria; Pseudomonadati; Pseudomonadota; Gammaproteobacteria; Oceanospirillales; Halomonadaceae. The record is from RNAcentral.